This 508-nucleotide ribosomal RNA is filed under the name uncultured bacterium. Its description in RNAcentral is "partial 16S ribosomal RNA". It matches the Rfam family "Bacterial small subunit ribosomal RNA", at positions 30 to 523 of the family's 1533-position model. The record is from RNAcentral.
AUUGAACGCUGGCGGCAUGCCUUACACAUGCAAGUCGAACGGCAGCGGGGGAGAAGCUUGCUUUUCCUGCCGGCGAGUGGCGAACGGGUGAGUAAUACAUCGGAACGUGCCCUGUAGUGGGGGAUAACUAGUCGAAAGAUUAGCUAAUACCGCAUACAACCUGAGGGUGAAAGUGGGGGACCGCAAGGCCUCAUGCUAUAGGAGCGGCCGAUGUCUGAUUAGCUAGUUGGUGGGGUAAAGGCCUACCAAGGCGACGAUCAGUAGCUGGUCUGAGAGGACGAUCAGCCACACUGGGACUGAGACACGGCCCAGACUCCUACGGGAGGCAGCAGUGGGGAAUUUUGGACAAUGGGCGAAAGCCUGACCCAGCAAUGCCGCGUGCAGGAAGAAGGCCUUCGGGUUGUAAACUGCUUUUGUACGGAGCGAAAAGGCUCUCUCUAAUACAGGGGGCUCAUGACGGUACCGUAAGAAUAAGCACCGGCUAACUACGUGCCAGCCGCCGCGGUAA